GCCAGGAGAGGGUGACAAAGUGAGGGGGGUGACAGCCAGGAGAGGGUGACAAAGUGAGGGGGGUGACAGCCAGGAGAGGGUGGCAUCCAUGCUUGGUGUGCUGAAUGUGGGGGACUGUGGGGGCGGGCAGACGUGAUGAUACGGUGACAGAUAACAGGUGACAUGGUCACACAGUGACAGGUGACAGGUGACACAGUGACAGGUAACAGAUGACAGGUACCAGGUGACAGGUGACAUCCUUAGGGCACAGCCACGGCUCCGUGUGCUGUGUGUGGGGACAUUGGGGACAGGGGGAUGUGCUGAGGCAGUGGCAGGGUGACACAGUGACAGGUGACAGGUGCCAGGUACCAGGUGACAGGUACCAGGUGACAGGUGACAGGUACCAGGUGACAGGUGACAGGUGGCAUCCUUAGCGCGCAGCCACGGCUCCGUGGGACAUUGGGGACAGGGAGAUGUGCUGAGGCAGUGGCAGGGUGACACGGUGACAGGUGACAGGUGACAGGUGACAGGUGACAUCCUUAGCGCGCAGCCACGGCUCCGUGGGACACUGGGGACAGGGGGAUGUGCUGAGGCAGUGGCAGGGUGACAUGGUCACACAGUGACACAGUGACAGGUGACACAGUGACAGGUGACAGGUGGCCUCCUUAGCGCGCAGCCACGGCUCCGUGGGACACUGGGGACAGGGGGAUGUGCUGAGGCAGUGGCAGGGUGACACAGUGACAGGUGACAGGUACCAGGUGAUAGGUGCCAGGUACCAGGUGACAGGUGACAGGUGGCCUCCUUAGCGCGCAGCCACGGCUCUGUGGGACAUUGGGGACAGGGGGAUGUGCUGAGGCAGUGGCAGGGUGACAUGGUCACACAGUGACACAGUGACAGGUGACACAGUGACAGGUGACAGGUACCAGGUGACAGGUGACAGGUGGCCUCCUUAGCGCGCAGCCACGGCUCUGUGGGACAUUGGGGACAGGGGGAUGUGCUGAGGCAGUGGCAGGGUGACACAGUGACAGGUGACAGGUGGCCUCCUUA
Long non-coding RNA from Haemorhous mexicanus (house finch), 1026 nucleotides. RefSeq lists it as uncharacterized. The record is from RefSeq and is a predicted model, not a curated record. NCBI's taxonomy places the organism in Eukaryota, Metazoa, Chordata, Aves, Passeriformes, Fringillidae. The transcript has 3 exons.